CCCCGGCACGGCCGGAUCCGGCGCCUCAUCCCCAUCUCCCCUGUUCCCGCAGGGCUCUGGGCGGCCGUGACCCUGCUGGAGUGCAGGGGGGACCUCCAGCCCCCCGGGGGGUCCCUGACUCUGCUCUGCCGCACCUCCGGUUUUGAUUUUGGAAGUUACACCAUGAGUUGGAUUCGCCAGAGCCCCGGGAAGGGGCUGGAAUGGGUCGCUGGGAUCCACAACAAUGGUGGCAGCACCUACUACGCGCCAUCAGUCAAGGGCCGGUUCUCGAUCUCCAGGGACAACGGGCAGAGCUCGGUGACGCUGACCAUGAACAACCUCAAGGACGAGGAUUCCGCCGUUUAUUUCUGUGCCAAACACGGCGCUGGUGGUUCUGCUCAUGCUUAUGGUAUUGAUGGCUUUGGCCCCAUCCCCUUUCCCAGGUCCCCAAAUGUCCCCAAACUCCAACCCUUGACUAUCGAGAACCGGCCCUUGACCGAUGGCGCGUAG
Catharus ustulatus (Swainson's thrush) is the source of this 489-nucleotide non-coding RNA. The record is from the annotation of a RefSeq genome assembly. Lineage: Eukaryota; Metazoa; Chordata; Aves; Passeriformes; Turdidae.